AUUUGCUGUAGGCUGGGGUUGUGCCACUCUGCUAUUAUUGCUGUAUCUUCCAUCACAUUAUAGCAUUACAUCAACCUACUUAGCUUCAUGUUAAGUAUAUGUUCAUUUGGUCAACAGCCACGUAACACCUAGAGAGCUAAGGUAAAACCACCUCAGGAUUGCCUGUAAACAGGAAAUGACAAGGACUCUUCAGAAGAGACGCUGUCCCAUUAUCAAGUAGAACUGAGUUUUGUUGGAAAUCCCCAUGCAGACAUUAAUUGACGCUACUGAGGUUCCACUCUUAUUAUGGUUGUGCUUUGCAAAGAUAUUACAGCUGAUAGAGAUGCUAAUAUUAUUACACUUCAUCAUUAAAACAAAUGCUGACACUGAGCUCUGGGGUAAAGUGGUUCCCAGUUAGAUGGAGACUGAGCAAUGCAGGAGAUGUUAUCUCACCUCUGACCUUCAGCAUCACCUCCAUAGUGAGCACUCGAGCAAACGUCCUUCCUCAGCCUGCCCGCACGGAUGCUGGGCUUAUCUGCAUACUGCGCUCUUCUUUCACUGAUUCCAAACAGCUUUCAUGGGGCAUGCCUCCAGAUUCCAGUCACUACAUUUCAAAGCAUUUCAACAGCUUUAUCCUCAACUGCUCUGAAGGUCAUUUUUUUUAAUUGAGAUUCUGUUGCUAAAUUAAAUGUACAUCACUGGCAUCACUUGCUGUGCAGAAGUGAAAGGAUUUGGGCUCUUAAGGAUUCCUGCAAGCAAAUCUUAACAUCUUUGUCCAAUGUAUGUACACUCAGAGAGAUGUCCACUAUGAGCGCUGCUCUGAAAAUAAUGUGUCCUAUUUUAUUAUUUUGUCUCUUGACAUCAGAAGCAGAUGUUUGUGAUGUGGCAGUAGAGGUUGAACUUUCUCACCAAUAUUCCUUUACAUUUUAUUGUCACAUGACAGAUGGCAUGAGAGGGGAGAAAAAUGGCACCCAUUGGCAUUCAUCGACACUUGCUAAAUGUUUAUGGAGAAGAAACACUAGAUGUUAGCACACCGAGCUGGUGGGUGGUACAUCCAGCAUUUAUGCUGUCAUAGAAGCUGUGAAACAGUGGGUCACCUUCUAUGCAGGAAGUCACAAGUUUGACAUGCAGGCUCUUGUACACUGCUGAUGGAAGUGCAUGCCUAACAGUGGUGACUCUGAAAAUGAGCAAACUCUCAGCUACAAAACAUUGUGGUACUAUUGUGUUCUUCAUACUGUAAUUUCCAUGGGGAAUAAAUUAGAGGCAUUACUUUAGAAUCA
Coturnix japonica (Japanese quail) is the source of this 1259-nucleotide long non-coding RNA. The record is from Ensembl. Lineage: Eukaryota; Metazoa; Chordata; Aves; Galliformes; Phasianidae.